This 1655-nucleotide long non-coding RNA is filed under the name Homo sapiens (human). RNAcentral's name for it is "HSALNT0210911". The record is from RNAcentral. Lineage: Eukaryota; Metazoa; Chordata; Mammalia; Primates; Hominidae.
UGGGCAUGCGUCCUGGCCUCUGUUUGGAAUGCUCUCUUUCUGCCUCAGUUUCCUUCCUGAUGUAUAUAUAUAGACUCAGCCUCUCUGCCCAAGUCUUCUAUGAUGACAGCUCACUAGGCAGGCAGCGUGGAUCUAUGUUCCAGUCUCCUCUUGCAGAUCAGAUACCACCUCUGAGAUCCUUCUCUGCUCCUCACUGACCAAACUCAAGGAACAGAUCUUCCCUGCCCAGGUCUCCAGGACCCCAACCUACCCACUUCUAGGAGAGAAUUCACACAGGUCUUGAGGAAUAGAGACUACAAACAAAUCAAGUCUUCUGUGGGAAUGCUGGGCCAUGGGCUUUGGAAUCACCACCAGUGAUGGAACCCGAAGUAAGCUACUAAACCUCGACAGGCUCAUUCAUGAAUCACCACCAGUGAUGGAACCCCAGGUGGUCCUGAAAGGAGGAGGUGCUUUGCUUCUCUUUUUCGCAGAUGUCAAUUAUGGAUCAACUUCUGAGUCACAUAGAAGAGCACCAUCAAUUGGCCAUUUCUCACCUGAUCACUGAGGAUAUAAAGUGCUUUUCCAGACUCCAGGACUCGGUUCAUUGCUAGUAUCAGGACGCCUCUCAUGUAUGGGAAGCCAGAAACAUCCCAGGAGCCUCACUGACUGCUUGGGCACAGCCCUCUGAGCAGACCUAUGAAGAAACAGAAGGAUUUGUGCCUUUUAGCGAGGAGGAUGCAGCACAUGCAGAGGCUUCAUAAAUCUGAUGAGUGCUGAAAAGAACCAUGCCCUCCAGCAAGGGGGAGCCAGGAAACAUUCUACAGGAAAGUCUGGAGUUUUGACACCUGUUGAGAGACACACCACCCACUAAAGAAAAAAAGGGUGCAGAGCUCUUCUACCCUUAGAUAAUAUGUGUUGGGAAGAAUUAACCAGUUCUGCAGUUUGGUCAAGGUUCAGCAGGGACAGUUUGUCUCUGUUCCACAUAGUAUCAGCUGAGGCAGCUCAACUGAGGAUGGAGGAUGCACUUUCAAGAUUGUUUCCUUGCAAGACUGGCAAGCUUGUAUUGUCAGCUGGACCUCAACUAGGACUGUUGGCCAGGGACCUCUCUCCUCCUCCACAUAGAUCCAUCUAUGUGGCUGUUUGGGUUUUCUGACAAGAUGGCCACAAGUUCCCAAGAGCAAAUAUUCCAAGAAAACAAGCCUCAAUAUGAAAUCACUUAUCAGGCCUCUCCUUGCAUCAUACUUGCCAAAUGUCCCAUUGGCCAAAGAUGGCUCCAUGAUCAAGCCCAGAGUCCAUGUGGGAGGGGACUACACAAGGGUAAGAACUCCAACAGCUGUGGUUCAUUGGGGGUCACCAAACUAAGAGUUUACCACAGAGUGUGGUAACUUUCGUCUCUCCCCAUUAGUAGAGAAAAAUUGAAAAUUGGUAUUAUUUGCCCACUCCCCCAAUUUUUUAAGUCAGAAACUUAAUACCAAUGUUUCCUAAUUUUUAAGUUGGCUUAAGAAAAUUGGAGCCAGGUGUGGUGGCUCACGCCUGUAAUCCCAGCACUUUGGGAGGACGAGGCAGGCGGAUCACGAGGUCAGGAGAUCGAGACCACCCUGGCUAACACAGUGAGACCCCGUCUCUACUAAAAAUACAAAAAAAAUUAGCCGGGCGUGGUGGCGGGCGCCUGUAGU